RNAcentral lists this ribosomal RNA (468 nucleotides) under uncultured bacterium. RNAcentral's name for it is "partial 16S ribosomal RNA". It matches the Rfam family "Bacterial small subunit ribosomal RNA", at positions 28 to 507 of the family's 1533-position model. The record is from RNAcentral.
GACGAACGCUGGCGGCGUGCUUAACACAUGCAAGUCGAACGGAAAGGCCCUGCUUUUGUGGGGUGCUCGAGUGGCGAACGGGUGAGUAACACGUGAGUAACCUGCCCUUGACUUUGGGAUAACUUCAGGAAACUGGGGCUAAUACCGGAUAGGAGCUCCUGCUGCAUGGUGGGGGUGGGAAAGUUUCGGCGGUUGGGGAUGGACUCGCGGCUUAUCAGCUUGUUGGUGGGGUAGUGGCUUACCAAGGCUUUGACGGGUAGCCGGCCUGAGAGGGUGACCGGCCACAUUGGGACUGGGAUACGGCCCAGACUCCUACGGGAGGCAGCAGUGGGGAAUAUUGCACAAUGGGCGGAAGCCUGAUGCAGCAACGCCGCGUGCGGGAUGACGGCCUUCGGGUUGUAAACCGCUUUCGCCUGUGACGAAGCGUGAGUGACGGUAAUGGGUAAAGAAGCACCGGCUAACUACGUG